This 586-nucleotide ribosomal RNA is filed under the name uncultured bacterium. RNAcentral describes it as "bacterial SSU rRNA". It matches the Rfam family "Bacterial small subunit ribosomal RNA", at positions 338 to 917 of the family's 1533-position model. The record is from RNAcentral.
CCUACGGGAGGCAGCAGUGGGGAAUUUUGGACAAUGGGCGCAAGCCUGACCCAGCCAUGCCGCGUGAGUGAAGGAGGCCUUCGGGUUGUAAAGCUCUUUUGUCAGGGAAGAAACGGUGGGAGCUAAUAUCUCCUGCUAAUGACGGUACCUGAAGAAUAAGCACCGGCUAACUACGUGCCAGCAGCCGCGGUAAUACGUAGGGUGCAAGCGUUAAUCGGAAUUACUGGGCGUAAAGCGUGCGCAGGCGGUUUUGUAAGUCUGAUGUGAAAUCCCCGGGCUCAACCUGGGAAUUGCAUUGGAGACCGCAAGGCUAGAGUCUGGCAGAGGGGGGUAGAAUUCCACGCGUAGCAGUGAAAUGCGUAGAUAUGUGGAGGAACACCGAUGGCGAAGGCAGCCCCCUGGGUCAAGAUUGACGCUCAUGCACGAAAGCGUGGGGAGCAAACAGGAUUAGAUACCCUGGUAGUCCACGCCCUAAACGAUGUCUACUAGUUGUCGGGUCUUAAUUGACUUGGUAACGCAGCUAACGCGUGAAGUGAGCCGCCUGGGGAGUACGGCCGCAAGGUUAAAACUCAAAGGAAUUGACGGA